RNAcentral lists this ribosomal RNA (1128 nucleotides) under Microvelia sp. 1 WT-2019. RNAcentral describes it as "bacterial SSU rRNA". The stretch from base 1 to 993 matches the Rfam family "Eukaryotic small subunit ribosomal RNA", at positions 831 to 1831 of the family's 1831-position model. The record is from RNAcentral. Lineage: Eukaryota; Metazoa; Arthropoda; Insecta; Hemiptera; Veliidae.
UGUUACUGUUUUGUUGGCUUUCGGUGAUCAAGGUAAUGAUCAAUGUGGACUGGCGGGGGCAUUCGUAUUGCGACGUUAGAGGUGAAAUUCUUGGAUCGUCGCAAGACGAACUAGAGCGAAAGCAUUUGCCAAGUAUGUCUUAGUUGAUCAAGAACGAAAGUUAGAGGUUCGAAGGCGAUCAGAUACCGCCCUAGUUCUAACCAUAAACGAUGUCGGCCAGCAAUCCGCCAAUGUUCCUCCGAUGACUCGGCGGGCAACCCCAGGGAAACCAAAGCUUUUGGGUUCCGGGGGAAGUAUGGUUGCAAAGCUGAAACUUAAAGGAAUUGACGGAAGGGCACCACCAGGAGUGGAGCCUGCGGCUUAAUUUGACUCAACACGGGAAACCUCACCAGGCCCAGACAUUGGAAGGAUUGACAGAUUGAUAGCUCUUUCUUGAUUCAAUGGGUAGUGGUGCAUGGCCGUUCUUAGUUGGUGGAACGAUUUGUCUGGUUAAUUCCGAUAACGAACGAGACUCUAGCCUAUUAACUAGGCGUCCGGUAUCGUGGUGCUACCGGCGAAAUAUGUUCUUCUUAAAGGGAACCGAGGCGCUCAGCCUCACGAGAUUGAGCAAUAACAGGUCUGUGAUGCCCUCAGAUGGUCUGGGCCGCACGCGCGCUACACUGAUGGAAUCAGCGUGUCCCUCCCUGGCCGAAAGGCCCGGGUAACCCGCUGAAACUCCUUCGUGCUUGGAAUUGGGGCUUGCAAUUGUUCCCCAUGAACGAGGAAUUCCCAGUAAGCGCGAGUCAUAAGCUCGCGUUGAUUACGUCCCUGCCCUUUGUACACACCGCCCGUCGCUACUACCGAUUGAAUGAUUUAGUGAGGUCUUCGGACUGGUGACAAUUGGCUCCGCUUCGGCGUAGCCGGUGUUGCCGGGAAGAUGACCAAACUUGAUCAUUUAGAGGAAGUAAAAGUCGUAACAAGGUUUCCGUAGGUGAACCUGCGGAAGGAUCAUUACCGUACGACCAUGAAUAGUGGUCAGAGGUACCUGGUCCUUGAGUUGCAAGAGUUGGCUUGCGCCGCUCGCGGUCACGUCUCUGGCUUCAGUACACAGUACUGCCUGUCGGAGCGUGGCGCGUCUCGGCAGCGGCC